Molecule: non-coding RNA, 324 nt
Organism: Paramuricea clavata
Lineage: Eukaryota; Metazoa; Cnidaria; Anthozoa; Malacalcyonacea; Plexauridae
Source: the annotation of a GenBank genome assembly
CGUAAUGUUUAUUAAAAAACAGCAGUGUUGUUACUGCAUUGGAAAACCAAACUUACUUUUGAUGGCUGCUGUUGAUUGAUACAACUACCUAAAAAAUACAAGAAGAAUUUCGACGUUUUGAGCGAAGGCCCUUCGUCGGGAAGUUAUACAUGUGUCGAAGGGUCUUCACUCGAAACGUCCAAGUGAUCUGCUUGUAAUUUUCAUGGAAUGGUAUCUCUCUCAAUCCACAGCUGUACUGUAAUCGUCGCUACCUACACUGGUACAGACCGAGAUUACUAUUUUAUGUUGCUUGUAACGGUUUUGGGCUAAAAUACUAGUAUUCAU